Molecule: ribosomal RNA, 1437 nt
Filed under: Mycobacterium sp. DR 7-14
Lineage: Bacteria; Bacillati; Actinomycetota; Actinomycetes; Mycobacteriales; Mycobacteriaceae
Description: bacterial SSU rRNA
Rfam family: Bacterial small subunit ribosomal RNA
Source: RNAcentral
GAACGCUGGCGGCGUGCUUAACACAUGCAAGUCGAACGGAAAGGCCCUUCGGGGUACUCGAGUGGCGAACGGGUGAGUAACACGUGGGUGAUCUGCCCUGCACUUUGGGAUAAGCCUGGGAAACUGGGUCUAAUACCGAAUAUGACCAUGCGCCUCCUGGUGUGUGGUGGAAAGCUUUUGCGGUGUGGGAUGGGCCCGCGGCCUAUCAGCUUGUUGGUGGGGUAAUGGCCUACCAAGGCGACGACGGGUAGCCGGCCUGAGAGGGUGACCGGCCACACUGGGACUGAGAUACGGCCCAGACUCCUACGGGAGGCAGCAGUGGGGAAUAUUGCACAAUGGGCGCAAGCCUGAUGCAGCGACGCCGCGUGAGGGAUGACGGCCUUCGGGUUGUAAACCUCUUUCAGCACAGACGAAGCGCAAGUGACGGUAUGUGCAGAAGAAGGACCGGCCAACUACGUGCCAGCAGCCGCGGUAAUACGUAGGGUCCGAGCGUUGUCCGGAAUUACUGGGCGUAAAGAGCUCGUAGGUGGUUUGUCGCGUUGUUCGUGAAAACUCACAGCUUAACUGUGGGCGUGCGGGCGAUACGGGCAGACUUGAGUACUGCAGGGGAGACUGGAAUUCCUGGUGUAGCGGUGGAAUGCGCAGAUAUCAGGAGGAACACCGGUGGCGAAGGCGGGUCUCUGGGCAGUAACUGACGCUGAGGAGCGAAAGCGUGGGGAGCGAACAGGAUUAGAUACCCUGGUAGUCCACGCCGUAAACGGUGGGUACUAGGUGUGGGUUUCCUUCCUUGGGAUCCGUGCCGUAGCUAACGCAUUAAGUACCCCGCCUGGGGAGUACGGCCGCAAGGCUAAAACUCAAAGAAAUUGACGGGGGCCCGCACAAGCGGCGGAGCAUGUGGAUUAAUUCGAUGCAACGCGAAGAACCUUACCUGGGUUUGACAUGCACAGGACGCCGGCAGAGAUGUCGGUUCCCUUGUGGCCUGUGUGCAGGUGGUGCAUGGCUGUCGUCAGCUCGUGUCGUGAGAUGUUGGGUUAAGUCCCGCAACGAGCGCAACCCUUGUCCUAUGUUGCCAGCGGGUUAUGCCGGGGACUCGUAGGAGACUGCCGGGGUCAACUCGGAGGAAGGUGGGGGAUGACGUCAAGUCAUCAUGCCCCUUAUGUCCAGGGCUUCACACAUGCUACAAUGGCCGGUACAAAGGGCUGCGAUGCCGUGAGGUGGAGCGAAUCCUUUCAAAGCCGGUCUCAGUUCGGAAUCGGGGUCUGCAACUCGACCCCGUGAAGUCGGAGUCGCUAGUAAUCGCAGAUCAGCAACGCUGCGGUGAAUACGUUCCCGGGCCUUGUACACACCGCCCGUCACGUCAUGAAAAGUCGGUAACACCCGAAGCCGGUGGCCUAACCCCUUGUGGGGAGGGAGCCGUCGAAAGUGGGAUCGGCGAUU